This 77-nucleotide transfer RNA is filed under the name Roseovarius mucosus. Its description in RNAcentral is "tRNA-Arg". It matches the Rfam family "tRNA". Rfam says of the family: Transfer RNA (tRNA) molecules are approximately 80 nucleotides in length. Their secondary structure includes four short double-helical elements and three loops (D, anti-codon, and T loops). Further hydrogen bonds mediate the characteristic L-shaped molecular structure. tRNAs have two regions of fundamental functional importance: the anti-codon, which is responsible for specific mRNA codon recognition, and the 3' end, to which the tRNAs corresponding amino acid is attached (by aminoacyl-tRNA synthetases). tRNAs cope with the degeneracy of the genetic code in two manners: having more than one tRNA (with a specific anti-codon) for a particular amino acid; and 'wobble' base-pairing, i.e. permitting non-standard base-pairing at the 3rd anti-codon position. RNAcentral also lists the same sequence under 40 other names. The record is from RNAcentral. Lineage: Bacteria; Pseudomonadati; Pseudomonadota; Alphaproteobacteria; Rhodobacterales; Roseobacteraceae.
GGACCCAUAGCUCAGCUGGAUAGAGCGCUGCCCUCCGAAGGCAGAGGCCAGAGGUUCGAAUCCUCUUGGGUCCGCCA